RNAcentral lists this non-coding RNA (379 nucleotides) under Nematostella vectensis (starlet sea anemone). RNAcentral's name for it is "Eukaryotic large subunit ribosomal RNA". It matches the Rfam family "Eukaryotic large subunit ribosomal RNA", at positions 3147 to 3399 of the family's 3401-position model. Lineage: Eukaryota; Metazoa; Cnidaria; Anthozoa; Actiniaria; Edwardsiidae. The record is from Rfam by way of RNAcentral.
UUUGGAUUUGACGAAUUAUUCUCAUAAAGUUGGAUUUUUAAUUAGUUUUGUUACACCUUCCAAAUAAUGUUAUAACUUUGUAUCUAAAUGUUGUAUAGCCCCCAGUGCUCCAUGGGUAUUGCAUAAAUGAGCAAAUAAAGCAGCGUUUGACCUCCGGAGAAUCUUAGGCGAACAAGGAUAGAGAACGGGCUUGCCCGCUCUCCUGCGUCCCAAUGUGCCAAGAGGGACAACAACCCUCAAGGCACUAAACUAUAUCAAAGUUUAAAAUUUCUGGAGAUAAAUCCUUUGCAGACGACUUAAAUAAAGAACGGGGUAUUGUACGUUGUAGAGUAGCCUUGUUGCUACGAUCUUCUGAGAUUAAGCCUUUGUUCUACGAUUU